This is a long non-coding RNA of Arachis duranensis, 1047 nucleotides long. RefSeq lists it as uncharacterized. NCBI's taxonomy places the organism in Eukaryota, Viridiplantae, Streptophyta, Magnoliopsida, Fabales, Fabaceae. The record is from RefSeq and is a predicted model, not a curated record. The transcript has 3 exons.
UAUCUAUCCAUAUUCUUUUAUAAAAUCCUAAUUUCUAACCCUAAAUUCCCAAAUUGGAAAUCAGAAACCCUAAUCCUAAUUUUCCCCUUUUCCCCAGCCUCAGAACGCAGCCCUCACCCCACCUUUCUUCCAAAACACUAACACCCAAACAAAAGAAAGAAACAAAGAAAUGGAAAGGGAGAACAGAGAGCGUGGAAUCAGAGAAGAGGGAGCCACACUCUGCUCUGUCCAGCUCGCCACCGCAGCACCUCGCCUUGCCAUCACCGUUGCUGGAGCAAGGUCACAUCGCCAUCAGAUUUGAAGUCGUUGAGGAGCUGAACGCUCGCGAGGGAGAGGACAAACACGAGGAGAGCUUGUGCGCGAAGGGUAGCGCCGCUGUGUCUCUGUCGCGCCUUCAUCACUGUCGAAGCUGCACUUUCGCGUCACCAUCGUUGUGCCUCCACCGAACCCGUCACACCGCUGCUGUUGCGAUGUCAUACCUGUCGCGAGGGAGAAGAGAUGCGUGAGGAAGGAAGCUCGCAGGGGAGAAAGAAGAGGCUGCCUGUGCCACCCGCUCUGUCGCGUCUGAUCUCUGUUAUCGCCGCGUCGCCGCCACUGAAGGUCCGCCGCCAUUGUUUUCAUCGCCUCCAUGCUUCAUGUUCAUCCUGCCAAUCAUCACUGUCUUUGUUCGGUAUUGCUGUCCUUAUCCGGAACCACCGAUGUCAUUGUUGUUGCUUCCCCAGAAGAACUGAGGUUAUUGCUACUGUUCCGGCCGUACUAGCUAUUGUAAACUGGAAAAAGAAGGGGAUCGCCACGUUUAAUUUUGUGGAUUUCGACUAACUGAGUGACACAGGUUCGAAGACUCCGUUUGAAGCUGCAGGCGAUUAUAGAUCUUAUUUAUGAGUUAAGUUUAUGACUUGAGUUAUUUUCAUAGAAGUUCCCUCGCUCUUAUUGCUUAACAUUUUUAUUUUAUACAGAGGGAUAGGAUUUGUAUGCGAGUUUUGUUUGAAAUCUUUUGUAUGACAGAUAUUAUUAUUAAUGAUUAUGUGAUUAUUAUUACUUGGUGAU